UACGUAGGUGGCAAGCGUUGUCCGGAAUUACUGGGUGUAAAGGGAGCGUAGACGGAAUUGCAAGUCUGAUGUGAAAAUCCGGGGCCCAACCCCGGAACUGCAUUGGAAACUGUAUUUCUAGAGUGUCGGAGAGGCAAGUGGAAUUCCUGGUGUAGCGGUGAAAUGCGUAGAUAUCAGGAGGAACACCAGUGGCGAAGGCGGCUUGCUGGACGAUGACUGACGUUGAGGCUCGAAAGCGUGGGGAGCAAACAGG
Molecule: ribosomal RNA, 253 nt
Filed under: uncultured bacterium
Lineage: Bacteria
Description: partial 16S ribosomal RNA
Rfam family: Bacterial small subunit ribosomal RNA
Source: RNAcentral